This 410-nucleotide ribosomal RNA is filed under the name uncultured bacterium. Its description in RNAcentral is "bacterial SSU rRNA". It matches the Rfam family "Bacterial small subunit ribosomal RNA", at positions 355 to 775 of the family's 1533-position model. The record is from RNAcentral.
UCGAGGAUCUUUGGCAAUGGGCGCAAGCCUGACCAAGCGACGCCGCGUGAGCGAUGAAGGCCUUCGGGUUGUAAAGCUCUGUCGAGGGGGAGGAAGCCGCAAGGUUGACCUAUCCCUGGAGGAAGGACGGGCUAAGUUCGUGCCAGCAGCCGCGGUAAGACGAACCGUCCAAACGUUAUUCGGAAUCACUGGGCUUAAAGGGCGCGUAGGUGGGUUGGCCAGUCUAUGGUGAAAUCCUCCGGCUUAACCGGAGAACUGCCGUGGAUACUGCCAGUCUCGAGGAGGGUAGGGGCGUCUGGAACUAGCGGUGGAGCGGUGAAAUGCGUUGAUAUCGCUAGGAACUCCGGUGGCGAAGGCGAGACGCUGGACCCUUUCUGACACUGAGGCGCGAAAGCCAGGGGAGCGAACGG